UAGGGAAUCUUCGGCAAUGGGGGGAACCCUGACCGAGCAACGCCGCGUGAGUGAAGAAGGUUUUCGGAUCGUAAAGCUCUGUUGUCAGAGAAGAACGGGUGUGAGAGUGGAAAGUUCACACAGUGACGGUACCUGACGAGAAAGGGACGGCUAACUACGUGCCAGCAGCCGCGGUAAUACGUAGGUCCCGAGCGUUGUCCGGAUUUAUUGGGCGUAAAGCGAGCGCAGGCGGCUCUGUAAGUCUGAAGUAAAAGGCAGUGGCUUAACCAUUGUGUGCUUUGGAAACUGCGGGGCUUGAGUGCAGAAGGGGAGAGUGGAAUUCCAUGUGUAGCGGUGAAAUGCGUAGAUAUAUGGAGGAACACCGGUUGCGAAAGCGGCUCUCUGGUCUGAAACUGACGCUGAGGCUCGAAAGCGUGGGUAGCGAACAGGAUUAGAUACCCUGGUA
Molecule: ribosomal RNA, 445 nt
Filed under: uncultured bacterium
Lineage: Bacteria
Description: bacterial SSU rRNA
Rfam family: Bacterial small subunit ribosomal RNA
Source: RNAcentral